CAGGUCAAUCUAGAGAGAGGUGUAGAGCAGGGGUCACCAACAGGUCAAUCUAGAGAGAGGUGUAGAGCAGGGGUCACCAACAGGUCAAUCUAGAGAGAGGUGUAGAGCAGGGGUCACCAACAGGUCAAUCUAGAGAGGGCUGUAGAGCAGGGGUCACUAACAGGUCAAUCUAGAGAGGGCUGUAGAGCAGGGGUCACCAACAGGUCAAUCUAGAGAGAGGUGUAGAGCAGGGGUCACCAACAGGUCAAUCUAGAGAGAGGUGUAGAGCAGGGGUCACCAACAGGUCAAUCUAGAGAGAGGUGUAGAGCAGGGGUCACCAACAGGUCAAUCUAGAGAGAGGUGUAGAGCAGGGGUCACCAACAGGUCAAUCUAGAGAGAGGUGUAGAGCAGGGGUCACCAACAGGUCAAUCUAGAGAGGGCUGUAGAGCAGGGGUCACCAACAGGUCAGGGGUCACUCAUUAGAUGGUUCUCGGGGCGGCAGGUAGUCUAGUGGUUAGAGCAGUAUAGCUAGCAG
Oncorhynchus keta (chum salmon) is the source of this 514-nucleotide long non-coding RNA. RefSeq lists it as uncharacterized. The transcript has 3 exons. Lineage: Eukaryota; Metazoa; Chordata; Actinopteri; Salmoniformes; Salmonidae. The record is from RefSeq and is a predicted model, not a curated record.